AGCGCGGUGGUCCCACCUGACCCCAUGCCGAACUCAGAAGUGAAACGCCGUAGCGCCGAUGGUAGUGUGGGGCCUCCCCAUGCGAGAGUAGGG
Molecule: ribosomal RNA, 93 nt
Filed under: Pantoea sp. B_10
Lineage: Bacteria; Pseudomonadati; Pseudomonadota; Gammaproteobacteria; Enterobacterales; Erwiniaceae
Source: RNAcentral